This 136-nucleotide microRNA precursor is filed under the name Pelobates cultripes (western spadefoot toad). Lineage: Eukaryota; Metazoa; Chordata; Amphibia; Anura; Pelobatidae. The record is from RNAcentral.
ACGUCAUCAUUGAGUAAACUUUGACCCGGAAACUCAGUCAGCAGACACUUCCUGGGAGGGAGGGUCUGCUGCUGAUUGGGUGGAAUGUGUCUGCUGGCUGUGAGGUUCCGGGUCAAAGUUUACUCAAUGAUGACGU